AGUUUGAUCAUGGCUCAGAGUGAACGCUGGCGGCAGGCCUAAUACAUGCAAGUCGAACGGCAGCACAGCAGAGCUUGCUCUGUGGGUGGCGAGUGGCGGACGGGUGAGGAAUACAUGGGAAUCUGCCCAGUCGUGGGGGAUAACGUAGGGAAACUUACGCUAAUACCGCAUGCGCCCUUCGGGGGAAAGCCGGGGACCUUCGGGCCUGGCGCGAUUGGAUGAGCCCAUGUCGGAUUAGCUAGUUGGCGGGGUAAUGGCCCACCAAGGCGACGAUCCGUAGCUGGUCUGAGAGGAUGAUCAGCCACACUGGAACUGUGACACGGUCCAGACUCCUACGGGAGGCAGCAGUAGGGAAUAUUGGACAAUGGGCGCAAGCCUGAUCCAGCCAUGCCGCGUGAGUGAAGAAGGCCCUCGGGUUGUAAAGCUCCUUUGUCCGGAAAGAAAAGCGCCGGGUUAAUACCCUGGUGUCCUGACGGUACCGGAAGAAUAAGCACCGGCUAACUUCGUG
RNAcentral lists this ribosomal RNA (508 nucleotides) under uncultured bacterium. Its description in RNAcentral is "bacterial SSU rRNA". It matches the Rfam family "Bacterial small subunit ribosomal RNA", at positions 10 to 507 of the family's 1533-position model. The record is from RNAcentral.